AUUGAACGCUGGCGGCAUGCCUUACACAUGCAAGUCGAACGGCAGCACGGGAGCAAUCCUGGUGGCGAGUGGCGAACGGGUGAGUGAUGUAUCGGAACGUGCCCAGUCGUGGGGGAUAACGUAGCGAAAGCUACGCUAAUACCGCAUACGAUCUAUGGAUGAAAGCGGGGGACCGUAAGGCCUCGCGCGAUUGGAGCGGCCGAUAUCAGGUUAGGUAGUUGGUGGGGUAAAGGCCUACCAAGCCGACGAUCUGUAGCUGGUCUGAGAGGACGACCAGCCACACUGGGACUGAGACACGGCCCAGACUCCUACGGGAGGCAGCAGUGGGGAAUUUUGGACAGUGGGCGCAAGCCUGAUCCAGCAAUGCCGCGUGCAGGAUGAAGGCCUUCGGGUUGUAAACUGCUUUUGUACGGAGCGAAAAGGCUCUCUCUAAUACAGGGGGCUCAUGACGGUACCGUAAGAAUAAGCACCGGCUAACUACGUGCCAGCCGCCGCCGUAA
RNAcentral lists this ribosomal RNA (500 nucleotides) under uncultured bacterium. Its description in RNAcentral is "partial 16S ribosomal RNA". It matches the Rfam family "Bacterial small subunit ribosomal RNA", at positions 30 to 523 of the family's 1533-position model. The record is from RNAcentral.